GACACUCUGGAGAAGCCCGGGGAAACCGGGUGCCGAAGGUGCAAGGCGCGGAAAUGUGCCAAUCUCUCAGGCAAAAGGACAGAGCAU
This 87-nucleotide non-coding RNA is filed under the name bovine gut metagenome. RNAcentral describes it as "Glycine riboswitch". It matches the Rfam family "Glycine riboswitch aptamer", at positions 9 to 86 of the family's 94-position model. Rfam says of the family: This family represents the bacterial glycine riboswitch. Glycine riboswitches usually consist of two metabolite-binding aptamers domains with similar structures in tandem. The record is from RNAcentral.